Non-coding RNA from Phoenix dactylifera (date palm), 110 nucleotides. The record is from RefSeq and is a predicted model, not a curated record. Lineage: Eukaryota; Viridiplantae; Streptophyta; Magnoliopsida; Arecales; Arecaceae.
AACUCUUGUGUUUGAUGUCCUGGAAUAUGGGUGUCCGAUCCUUAUGGACUAACUGAAAAAGUACAAUCUGUAAAUCCAGCGUGGGGCGCGGAAGGUUUUGAUCCUUUUGU